GAUGAAGAACGCAGCGAAAUGCGAUACUUGGUGUGAAUUGCAGAAUCCCGUGAACCAUCGAGUCUUUGAACGCAAGUUGCGCCCGAAGCCAUUAGGCCGAGGGCACGCCUGCCUGGGCGUCACACGUCGUUGCCCCCCCAUCUACUCCUUCGGGAUUGCGGGGGGCGGAUGAUGGCCUCCCGUGCGCCUCGUCGCGCGGUUGGCAUAAAUGCCAAGUCCUCGGCGACGCACGCCACGACAAUCGGUGGUUGCGAAACCUCGGAUGCCCGUCGUGUGCGGUCGUCGCGCAUCGAGGGCUCGAAAAAAUUGCCGGGCUCCGGCUCGGCUUUCAACGCGACCCCAGGUCAGGCGGGGUUACCCGCUGAAUUUAAGCAUAUCAAUAAGCGGAGGA
Molecule: unclassified non-coding RNA, 391 nt
Filed under: soil metagenome
Description: partial contains 5.8S ribosomal RNA, internal transcribed spacer 2, and large subunit ribosomal RNA
Rfam family: 5.8S ribosomal RNA (bases 1-122)
Source: RNAcentral